AUGGAGGAGGAACCGUCCGCCAAGCGUCAUCAUGCCGAGACGUCGGACAAGAGCAGCAACCUCGUCAACAUUCACGUCCCCGGCGAGAAGCGCGAGUACACAACAACCCUCAAAGAGGUUGAGCUCCACGGCAACGAGACGCUGGAGAUCGUCUGCACCAGCGUACCAGAAAAGGUCGACGAGGUGAUCUCCAGGCUCUGGAGGAAGCUUGGCGGCAGGAGUUCGAAUCGUAGGAUCUUCGGCGUUGGUGUGCACUACACCAACGAAGAUGAACCUCCCCAGAUGGUAGCAGUCCUGCAGUUGUGCGUCGACGACCUCUGA
RNAcentral lists this ribosomal RNA (321 nucleotides) under Triticum aestivum (bread wheat). RNAcentral's name for it is "partial small subunit ribosomal RNA". The record is from RNAcentral. Lineage: Eukaryota; Viridiplantae; Streptophyta; Magnoliopsida; Poales; Poaceae.